Molecule: ribosomal RNA, 460 nt
Filed under: uncultured bacterium
Lineage: Bacteria
Description: partial 16S ribosomal RNA
Rfam family: Bacterial small subunit ribosomal RNA
Source: RNAcentral
CCUACGGGAGGCAGCAGUGAGGAAUAUUGGUCAAUGGACGCAAGUCUGAACCAGCCAUGCCGCGUGCAGGAAGACGGCUCUAUGAGUUGUAAACUGCUUUUGUACGAGGGUAAACGCAGAUACGCGUAUCUGUCUGACAGUAUCGUACGAAUAAGGAUCGGCUAACUCAGUGCCAGCAGCCGCGGUAAGACGGAGGAUUCAAGCGUUAUCCGGAUUUAAUGGGGUUAAAGGGUGCGUAGGCGGGCUGGUAAGUUAGAUGUGAAAUCCUGAGGCUUAACUUCAGAAUUGCCUCUGAUACUGUUCGGCUAGAGAGUAGUUGCGGUAGGCGGAAUGUAUGGUGUAGCGGUGAAAUGCUUAGAGAUCAUACAGAACACCGAUUGCGAAGGCAGCUUACCAAGCUACUUCUGACGUUGAGGCACGAAAGCGUGGGGAGCAAACAGGAUUAGAUACCCGAGUAGUC